CCUACGGGUGGCUGCAGUGGGGAAUUUUGGACAAUGGGGGCAACCCUGAUCCAGCCAUUCCGCGUGAGUGAAGAAGGCCUUCGGGUUGUAAAGCUCUUUUGUCCGGAGCGAAACGGGCGGCCCUAAUACGGUCGUCUACUGACGGUACCGGAAGAAUGAGCACCGGCUAACUACGUGCCAGCAGCCGCGGGAAUACGUAGGGUGCGAGCGUUAAUCGGGAGUGCGGGGCGGAAUUUGUAAGCCGGAGGUGAAAUCCCCGGGCUCAACCUGGGAAUGGCAUUUGGGACUGCAAGGCUUGAGUGUGGCAGAGGGGACUAGAAUUCCUGGUGUAGCAGUGAAAUGCGUAGAUAUCAGGAGGAAUACCGAUGGCGAAGGCAGGUCCCUGGGUUAACACUGACGCUCAUGCGCGAAAGCGUGGGGAGCAAACAGGAUUAGAUACCCGGGUAGUC
Molecule: ribosomal RNA, 449 nt
Filed under: uncultured bacterium
Lineage: Bacteria
Description: partial 16S ribosomal RNA
Rfam family: Bacterial small subunit ribosomal RNA
Source: RNAcentral